GAGGGCAUUGCUCAGUGGUAGAAUGCGUUCUUAGCAUGCAUGAGGUCCUGGGUUCAAUCCCCAGUACCUCCA
Molecule: transfer RNA, 72 nt
Organism: Camelus ferus (Wild Bactrian camel)
Lineage: Eukaryota; Metazoa; Chordata; Mammalia; Artiodactyla; Camelidae
Rfam family: tRNA
About the family: Transfer RNA (tRNA) molecules are approximately 80 nucleotides in length. Their secondary structure includes four short double-helical elements and three loops (D, anti-codon, and T loops).
Source: Rfam